UCCUACCAUUGGCAUGUUAAUAAUGCCCUCAAAAGAAAAAGCACUGAUGGAUUGUCAUAGAAGCAUAUUUUAUUAGACUAAUAUGGUCUAAAUAUAAGCAGUUACAUUUAUUUCAUGUUUGGAGCGGUGCAAAGUUUACCAAAAGAUGCAUUGUAGCAAAGGAGAAGAAUAAUUGUGGUCUGAGACCAGAGACACAAAAAC
RNAcentral lists this long non-coding RNA (201 nucleotides) under Mytilus galloprovincialis (Mediterranean mussel). Lineage: Eukaryota; Metazoa; Mollusca; Bivalvia; Mytilida; Mytilidae. The record is from RNAcentral.